UACGUAGGGCGCAAGCGUUAUCCGGAAUUAUUGGGCGUAAAGAGCUCGUAGGCGGUUUGUCGCGUCUGCCGUGAAAGUCCGGGGCUCAACUCCGGAUCUGCGGUGGGUACGGGCAGACUAGAGUGAUGUAGGGGAGACUGGAAUUCCUGGUGUAGCGGUGAAAUGCGCAGAUAUCAGGAGGAACACCGAUGGCGAAGGCAGGUCUCUGAGCAUUAACUGACGCUGAGGAGCAAAAGCAUGGGGAGCGAACAGG
This 253-nucleotide ribosomal RNA is filed under the name uncultured bacterium. RNAcentral describes it as "partial 16S ribosomal RNA". It matches the Rfam family "Bacterial small subunit ribosomal RNA", at positions 524 to 776 of the family's 1533-position model. The record is from RNAcentral.